Myodes glareolus (Bank vole) is the source of this 106-nucleotide small nuclear RNA. NCBI's taxonomy places the organism in Eukaryota, Metazoa, Chordata, Mammalia, Rodentia, Cricetidae. The record is from RefSeq and is a predicted model, not a curated record.
AUGCUUUCUUUGGCAACAUAUAUUCUAAAAUGUAAAUAAUGCAGAGAAGAUUAGUCUGGCCUUAUGUAAGGAUAACUCACAAAUUCACAAAGUAUUUUAUGUUUUU